UGUAAGAUAGAAUGUGUGAUUUGAGCGC
RNAcentral lists this small RNA (28 nucleotides) under Bombyx mori (domestic silkworm). RNAcentral describes it as "ovarian small RNA-35326". The record is from RNAcentral. Lineage: Eukaryota; Metazoa; Arthropoda; Insecta; Lepidoptera; Bombycidae.